This 509-nucleotide ribosomal RNA is filed under the name uncultured bacterium. RNAcentral describes it as "bacterial SSU rRNA". It matches the Rfam family "Bacterial small subunit ribosomal RNA", at positions 791 to 1300 of the family's 1533-position model. The record is from RNAcentral.
UAGUCCACGCCGUAAACGAUGAGAACUAGCCGUCGGGGCCCUUGAGGCUUUGGUGGCGCAGCUAACGCGAUAAGUUCUCCGCCUGGGGAGUACGGCCGCAAGGCUAAAACUCAAAUGAAUUGACGGGGGCCCGCACAAGCGGUGGAGCAUGUUGUUUAAUUCGAUGCAACGCGAAGAACCUUACCACCCCUUGACAUCCUCAGAACUUGUUAGAAAUAACUUGGUGCCUUCGGGAACUGAGUGACAGGUGCUGCAUGGCUGUCGUCAGCUCGUGUCGUGAGAUGUUGGGUUAAGUCCCGCAACGAGCGCAACCCUUGUCUUUAGUUGCCAUCAUUUAGUUGGGCACUCUAGAGAAACUGCCGGUGACAAACCGGGAGGAAGGUAAGGAUGACGUCAAGUCAGCAUGCCCCUUACGCUCUGGGCUACACACGUGCUACAAUGGUCGUGACAAAGAGUUGCUAGUCUGCGAAGGCAAGCCAAUCUCAUAAACGCGGCCUUAGUUCGGAUUG